This 599-nucleotide long non-coding RNA is filed under the name Pongo abelii (Sumatran orangutan). RNAcentral describes it as "lincRNA". The record is from RNAcentral. Lineage: Eukaryota; Metazoa; Chordata; Mammalia; Primates; Hominidae.
AAACAUUUGAGAAAGCCAGAAAGCAGAGGGGAUGAAGCUCCACUGUCAUGAGAAUGGGAAGCAGAAGCAGUGGCAGCAUGCACAGACAUCCUUUGAGGGUUUGUUAUAAACACAGAAACUGAUGUCUGGGAAAAGGGCCAGCUGGGUUAUCUUUCUUGUUUCAUUAAGUGUUUGUCCUCCUUAAAAUUGAGAAUGAACAGAGACUCCUUGAUUUCAUCUUCUGAAUUUGAAAACAAUGACACACAUUGCCCUGCAAUCAGGUCAGGCUGCAGUUGCAGGAACACAGACCCCCAAUCCAGAACAACCCUGCAUGGGGAAUCCUUCGGGAAAAGACUAAGCCAAAUACAACACUGGAAUUGGGGGAGGGGCUUGGAGAGUUUGUUUUUAAAAGUUUUGAGCAGCAUAUCAUCUAAGUAAGUAAGCAGUAAAUCAUCUUACAAGAGUAAGAAAAUUAGUUUUCAACUUUAAUUUCUUUGGUCUUUCAGUUUUAACAGGCACAGCUUUAAUGUUCAUUUUCAACCCGUUGAAGAGAUGAGCGUAUUGGCUAGUGCACCUUGACAACAUGCAGGUGGAAAACAGGACAUUCAGUCUUUGGUGCA